Molecule: ribosomal RNA, 252 nt
Filed under: uncultured bacterium
Lineage: Bacteria
Description: partial 16S ribosomal RNA
Rfam family: Bacterial small subunit ribosomal RNA
Source: RNAcentral
UACGUAGGUGGCAAGCGUUAUCCGGAAUGAUUGGGCGUAAAGGGUGCGCAGGCGGAACCAUAAGUCUGAAGUAAAAGCCAUCGGCUCAACCGAUGUAAGCUUUGGAAACUGUGGAUCUGGAGUGCAGGAGAGGACAGUGGAAUUCCAUGUGUAGCGGUAAAAUGCGUAGAUAUUAGGAGGAACACCAGUGGCGAAGGCGGCUUACUGGACUGUAACUGACGUUGAGGCUCGAAAGCGUGGGGAGCAAACAGG